UUUAGAAAACAUUUGUUCCGGUGCCUAAUUUCACAGAUGAGGACAGCAAAACUUGGAGAGGUUAAAUGACUUGCCCAACGUCAAUCACCUGAUAAAUGCUGUAUGAAUGUCAUGGUUUCCCUGUUUAUUGAAAUUAUCUUUUAACGACAACUACUACUUCUUGAAACCACAUUGUUAAACUAAGAAAAACAACCAGCAACUACUACUCCUAUUUACUUGUACUAGCUCAUCUGACUUCCACAAAAAUCCUAUGAGACAGAGUCUCACUCUGGACAGGCUGGAGUGCAGUGGCAAGAUCUCGGCUUAUGGCAACCUCUGCCUUUCAGGUUCAAAUGACUUUCAUGCUUCAGCCUCCCAAGUAGCUGGGAUUACAGGUGUGUGCCACUA
RNAcentral lists this long non-coding RNA (387 nucleotides) under Homo sapiens (human). RNAcentral describes it as "HSALNT0192971". Lineage: Eukaryota; Metazoa; Chordata; Mammalia; Primates; Hominidae. The record is from RNAcentral.